AGAGUUUGAUCCUGGCUCAGAUUGAACGCUGGCGGCAUGCUUUACACAUGCAAGUCGAACGGUAACAGGUCUUCGGAUGCUGACGAGUGGCGAACGGGUGAGUAAUGCAUCGGAACGUGCCCAGUCGUGGGGGAUAACGCAGCGAAAGCUGUGCUAAUACCGCAUACGAUCUAUGGAUGAAAGCGGGGGAUCGCAAGACCUCGCGCGAUUGGAGCGGCCGAUGUCAGAUUAGCUAGUUGGUGGGGUAAAGGCCCACCAAGGCGACGAUCUGUAGCUGGUCUGAGAGGACGACCAGCCACACUGGGACUGAGACACGGCCCAGACUCCUACGGGAGGCAGCAGUGGGGAAUUUUGGACAAUGGGCGCAAGCCUGAUCCAGCAAUGCCGCGUGC
Molecule: ribosomal RNA, 392 nt
Filed under: uncultured bacterium
Lineage: Bacteria
Description: bacterial SSU rRNA
Rfam family: Bacterial small subunit ribosomal RNA
Source: RNAcentral